GACGAACGCUGGCGGCGUGCCUAAUACAUGCAAGUAGAACGCUGAAGGAGGAGCUUGCUUCUCUGGAUGAGUUGCGAACGGGUGAGUAACGCGUAGGUAACCUGCCUGGUAGCGGGGGAUAACUAUUGGAAACGAUAGCUAAUACCGCAUAAGAGUAGAUGUUGCAUGACAUUGGCUUAAAAGGUGCAAUUGCAUCACUACCAGAUGGACCUGCGUUGUAUUAGCUAGUUGGUGGGGUAACGGCUCACCAAGGCGACGAUACUUAGCCGAUCUGAGAGGGGGAGCGGCCACACUGGGACUGAGACACGGCCCAGACUCCUACGGGAGGCAGCAGUAGGGAAUCUUCGGCAAUGGACGGAAGUCUGACCGAGCAACGCCGCGUGAGUGAAGAAGGUUUUCGGAUCGUAAAGCUCUGUUGUAAGAGAAGAACGAGUGUGAGAGUGGAAAGUUCACACUGUGACGGUAUCUUACCAGAAAGGGACGGCUAACUACGUG
This 495-nucleotide ribosomal RNA is filed under the name uncultured bacterium. Its description in RNAcentral is "partial 16S ribosomal RNA". It matches the Rfam family "Bacterial small subunit ribosomal RNA", at positions 28 to 507 of the family's 1533-position model. The record is from RNAcentral.